RNAcentral lists this ribosomal RNA (274 nucleotides) under uncultured bacterium. RNAcentral describes it as "partial 16S ribosomal RNA". It matches the Rfam family "Bacterial small subunit ribosomal RNA", at positions 523 to 796 of the family's 1533-position model. The record is from RNAcentral.
AUACAGAGGGUGCGAGCGUUAAUCGGAAUUACUGGGCGUAAAGCGCGCGUAGGCGGCUGAUUAAGUCAGAUGUGAAAUCCCAGGGCUCAACCUUGGAACUGCAUCUGAUACUGGUCAGCUGGAGUUUAGGAGAGGGAAGUAGAAUUUCAGGUGUAGCGGUGAAAUGCAUAGAUAUCUGAAGGAAUACCAGUGGCGAAGGCGGCUUCCUGGCCUAAAACUGACGCUGAGGUGCGAAAGCGUGGGUAGCAAACGGGAUUAGAAACCCCAGUAGUCC